AUUAAUGAAUUGCCUCUGUUUGUAG
Molecule: non-coding RNA, 25 nt
Filed under: Cricetulus griseus (Chinese hamster)
Lineage: Eukaryota; Metazoa; Chordata; Mammalia; Rodentia; Cricetidae
Source: RNAcentral